UACGGGGGGAGCAAGCGUUGUUCGGAUUUACUGGGCGUAAAGGGCUCGUAGGCGGUUUGUCACGUCGGGAGUGAAAACUCAGGGCUUAACCCUGAGCCUGCUUCCGAUACGGGCAGACUAGAGGUAUGCAGGGGAGAAUGGAAUUCCUGGUGUAGCGGUGAAAUGCGCAGAUAUCAGGAGGAACACCUGUGGUGUAGACAGCUUACUGGACCACUUCUGACGCUGAGACACGAAAGCGUGGGUAGCAAACAGG
This 253-nucleotide ribosomal RNA is filed under the name uncultured bacterium. RNAcentral describes it as "partial 16S ribosomal RNA". It matches the Rfam family "Bacterial small subunit ribosomal RNA", at positions 524 to 776 of the family's 1533-position model. The record is from RNAcentral.